GUGCCAGCAGCCGCGGUAAUACGUAGGUGGCGAGCGUUGUCCGGAUUUACUGGGCGUAAAGGGCGUGCAGGCGGCCUGUUAAGUCUAGGGUGAAAGCUCCCGGCUCAACUGGGAGAGGUCCUUGGAUACUGGCGGGCUUGAGGGAGGUAGAGGAGAAUGGAAUUCCCGGUGUAGUGGUGAUAUGCGUAGAUAUCGGGAGGAACACCUGUGGCGAAGGCGGUUCUCUGGGCCUUACCUGACGCUGAGACGCGAAAGCGUGGGGAGCGAACCGGAUUAGAAACCCUUGUAGUCC
This 292-nucleotide ribosomal RNA is filed under the name uncultured bacterium. RNAcentral's name for it is "partial 16S ribosomal RNA". It matches the Rfam family "Bacterial small subunit ribosomal RNA", at positions 505 to 796 of the family's 1533-position model. The record is from RNAcentral.